UGCGGAAGGAUCAUUACCAAGAACCACACAGAAAAGGGAGGCAAAGGGGCCUACAGGGCUAGUAGCUUAUACGUUGUUGAACGUCCUGCCUGGACCCGGAGCCGCCCCCAUCUAAACCCUCUGCGUACCUGUCCCUUCUUGCUUCCCCCGGCAUCUCGUCGGGGGGAGGUAACAACCAAAACUCUCUGUGAAUCAAACAGCCGUCAGAAUUAUAAAACAAACAAAAGUUAAAACUUUCAACAACGGAUCUCUUGGUUCCCACAUCGAUGAAGAACGCAGCGAAAUGCGAUAAGUAAUGUGAAUUGCAGAAUUCAGUGAAUCAUCGAAUCUUUGAACGCACAUUGCGCCCCCUGGUAUUCCGGGGGGCAUGCCUGUUCGAGCGUCAUAAAAACCUCCUCCCCCUUCGGGUUUUGUUACUAUCGUUGGGGGGUUUUGGCCUAAUGGGAUAGCGAUUGGCAAUUCGUUUCCCAAUGUCCUAAAUAGACGUAGACCCGCCUCCAGAUGCGACAGCACCGAGGCCAUCAACCGUGGAGUUAUGGGAUAUAAUAGGCUUGCAGUAAAAUGCUCACCUCUCUCCACACGCCGAUGGCACGACAGUUGCAGUUGCGGGCGUAAAUUGGAGCCCUUUUCAGGACCCUUGUGGCCUAGCAUCCACCAUACAUAAUUUGACCUCGGAUCAGGUAGGGAUACCCGCUGAACUUAAGCAUAU
Molecule: ribosomal RNA, 709 nt
Filed under: Morchella sp. Mel-17/19/20/34
Lineage: Eukaryota; Fungi; Ascomycota; Pezizomycetes; Pezizales; Morchellaceae
Description: eukaryotic LSU rRNA
Rfam family: 5.8S ribosomal RNA (bases 232-385)
Source: RNAcentral